ACUCUGUCUCAAAAAAAAAAAAAAAAAGACAGUGUUGGUCAAAACUUCUGUAUAUUCUUCCAUGCAUAAAAUUUUAAUUUUUAUAAUAACUUCUGUUAAUUGAGUCUCCUUAACAAGUUCAUGAAUUUUAGAAAUAUUGCAUAACCUCUAUCGUAGUAAGGGGCAAUUAUAAUUCCCACUUAACAGCUAUAUCAACAUCCAUGAAAGUUAAGCAUCUUUCCCAAGAUUACAUAAGAAGUCAAGACAAAAAAAUUAAAAUAUAAUAGAGCUCAAAACAAUAGAGCUGUCACCGUGAUCCUAUUGUUUGCUUACCCAGGGCUUUAUUCUGUAUCCUGUGUAAUCUUCCACUGUCCAUAUGAAUUAAUUUUAUAGGUCUUAGGAUGAGUUUAAUUUCUUCAAAAUAUUUCACAUAUAGGUUUCAUUUAGCCUGAAUCAUGUUCACAGAGUCCAUCAACCAUUUUAAUUUGGCAUUAACAUUACAGGUUAUAUUCUUCCCCUUUUAAAAAGAUAACUAUCAAGUUCCAACUCUCAUUUCCUGGAUACUCCUCCCAUCCUGGAAAAUAAAUAUUAUAAACAUUGUUUUCUAGAUGAUAAGACAAUAUACUUUAAAGGAUUCUCUAACAAGAAAACUGAUACAAGUUAGGGUAUUAUCAUAUUCAUUACCUAUGGUUUCUGUUUUUAGAGAUGGUGCUAAAUACUUGCUUCUGUGUUCAAUUUCUUUUUGUGCAAAACGGAGCAUCACUCUUCAGACAUUUUGAUCUCCUUAUCAUCAGUUUUUAUGAUGUCCUAAAUUCUUUGACUAAUAACUCGAUCCCCCAAAACAUAUGAGAGAUUCUGGCACUUGUAGCAUCACUCUUCUUUGUGACUAUCAAGGCAGAACAUUGGUUUCUAAGCUCAGCUAUUGAUAAAUUAUACACUUGUCAUCUUUCUGAUGCCAAAAUGCUCAUUCACAAAACUCUAUGCUCCUAAUCUUAUUAUUUAUGGCGCCUGAGUCUCAAAUUAAGCUGAAACCACACAUGUGGCAUCUACCUCCAAGAAAGCCCAGUUUUUUCACCUAGAGAUUCAGAAAUUGACUUCCAGUCAAUUUUUUAGGCUAUAGCCUAAAAAACCAUGUUACUGUUACUACUAUUAAUAUGCUAGUCUCAGUCCCAAUUAUCACAGUUCUUCCUUAAGGAACAUGAACAAUAUUUGAACUUCGUAUAAUUGAUGAUCUCAGAAUUGAGUGUUUUGCUAUGCCUUUUCAUUAAAAACAAUCUUUGCUAUAAUAGAAUAUUCCAACUCAGAAAACCCUAAAAGAAGAGACUCAACAGAUGCCAAGCACUCAUUCUUGAAGAACCAACAGCUGACGCUAAAGGAAUUUAACCUGCAAUACCAAUGAUUCCUAAUGUUGCUUGGCAGCAUAAGGAGCAAUUCCAGAAAGCCUCCUUCAAAGAUUAAAACUCUUACUUCACCCUCCUCCCAGACCUCACAAUUUAAUUUGAUGGGGAAUCAUAAUCUAUUUAUUAGGAUACAGCCAAGUUAAUGAUCUAGAAAUGUUAGGUUAUUAAUUUUGGAAGAGAGGCCACUAUUUAUAUAUAUGGAGUAGUGAUUUAUGAUGCACUGUUUGCCAGCAAUUUUAAACCAAUAAAUGUCCAGAAAUGAGGAAGCAAAAAUAGGUACUCCCCACUCUAUGUCAAGGUGUCCUCAUCUGCUUUCCGCAGGACUCUGGGUGUGGAGCCAGGAGUGUGACCACCACCUGCAGGUAGUCUUGAAAUGGAAGCACAUAGGGUCCAAAGUCAGGAGACCUAGAUUUGGAUUUGGCUCUGACUUUGACUGGUUACAUGAUCUUGGACUAAGAGAUAACACCUCCCUCACAAAAUUGUGAGGAUUCAAUUAAAUCAUUUAGGUGUAAAUAUUGUGCAUAAAUAAACACUACAUGCAUGCUACUAAAAAUUGAGAAAUUAUUUAUUCAUUGAUAUCUUUAAUGUAUUUCAGCAUUCUACAGUGGUAGUAGAUAGAAUAUGCAUUGAACACAGUAUUAGAAGAGCAGACAGUAAAUAAAGUAGAGCAUAUAUCUA
This is a long non-coding RNA of Lemur catta (Ring-tailed lemur), 2057 nucleotides long. RefSeq lists it as uncharacterized. NCBI's taxonomy places the organism in Eukaryota, Metazoa, Chordata, Mammalia, Primates, Lemuridae. The transcript has 2 exons. The record is from RefSeq and is a predicted model, not a curated record.